RNAcentral lists this ribosomal RNA (620 nucleotides) under bacterium 22-L049659-122-016-F03. Its description in RNAcentral is "bacterial SSU rRNA". It matches the Rfam family "Bacterial small subunit ribosomal RNA", at positions 62 to 676 of the family's 1533-position model. The record is from RNAcentral.
UCGAGCGGAGUGAUGGUGCUUGCACUAUCACUUAGCGGCGGACGGGUGAGUAAUGCUUAGGAAUCUGCCUAUUAGUGGGGGACAACAUUUCGAAAGGAAUGCUAAUACCGCAUACGUCCUACGGGAGAAAGCAGGGGAUCUUCGGACCUUGCGCUAAUAGAUGAGCCUAAGUCGGAUUAGCUAGUUGGUGGGGUAAAGGCCUACCAAGGCGACGAUCUGUAGCGGGUCUGAGAGGAUGAUCCGCCACACUGGGACUGAGACACGGCCCAGACUCCUACGGGAGGCAGCAGUGGGGAAUAUUGGACAAUGGGCGCAAGCCUGAUCCAGCCAUGCCGCGUGUGUGAAGAAGGCCUUAUGGUUGUAAAGCACUUUAAGCGAGGAGGAGGCUACUGAAGUUAAUACCUUCAGAUAGUGGACGUUACUCGCAGAAUAAGCACCGGCUAACUCUGUGCCAGCAGCCGCGGUAAUACAGAGGGUGCAAGCGUUAAUCGGAUUUACUGGGCGUAAAGCGCGCGUAGGCGGCUAAUUAAGUCAAAUGUGAAAUCCCCGAGCUUAACUUGGGAAUUGCAUUCGAUACUGGUUAGCUAGAGUGUGGGAGAGGAUGGUAGAAUUCCAGGUGU